GGGACUCAGUCUUCAAAACGCAUUGUGUAUUUUCUACUUACAAGCCAUCUCAAUUCCAAAUGGCUGCCUUUCAGGUGCUCAAUAGCUGCAUGUGGCUAGAAGCUACUGUACUGGAAAGCUCAGAGCUGAACCACAUGAAAAAUUUUCAAAGGUGAUGGCUGGUAAGUCUUGAACUCCUCACCCACAUUGAGGGUACAAAGAGGAGGAGUUUUGGAGAGAGUUUGUGGAAAGAAUUUCUUCAGAGAAAGCCUUGUUGUGAGUUCUACCCUCCUUCCCCAGAGGGGUGGGAUCGGCAUCUUAAACCUAAACCAGAUGCGAAGGACCACAAAGAGAGGGAGAUGCGGGGGAAAGGAGCUUUGGGAAGAGACGAGGCUGUGCUGCGAGCCCCGAGGGGAGGGGAGGACUGUGGGAUCCCUACCUCUUGCCUCAAUCUUGAAAAAGAGCUUAUAGGGUCCCUUGGAGACCCAUCCCCUCUAGUUUGAGAGAUACAGUCACCUGGUGUUUGAUUUACACCUGAGAAAUCUAAACGUCGAGAGACUGACUGCAGCUGCCUGUGGGAGCCCAGUAGAAGCUGUUGCAUUUGGAAGCUCUGCACUCCCAUCUAUUGGGAUAAAAAUUACAAGGAGGUUUCCUGAGAAUGGACAAGGGAGAAAGCCAGUGAGAGGUCCUGUCCAGGAGGGUCACUGGCCACCGGACCUCAGCAGAGGGAAGAUACAGGUGUCACUCAAAGCCUUGAGCUAAAGAAGGGCAAGUGAUGGCCCUAAGCAGAGAUACAUUGGCCCUCAUCAAGGGGAUAGCAGCUGAGAGAGAACAGGGUCCCCAAAGCACCCAAGAGAGCAAGGUCAGAGCACAGCACUGCUAGAUCUCCAUGUACUGGUCAAAAAAGAAAUUUCUGGUUCCUUUUGACCCAAUUUGCAUUUCGUCUCUGGAGGAGUCAGAAAGGUGGAUAGAAAAUGGGAAAGGAAGAGAUGCAUAGAUGAGGAAAAAGAAGAGUCUACCAUGUCCCUCUGCUCUGAUGAAGGGUUCUGACUGCAAUAGGCUGGAGAGGGCAGCGUGGAAAAGCUUCAUUUUAAAUCCAGUGUAGAGGUUUAAUUAUACAGGGCAGGACAUUUAAAUUACUGAUGUAAAUUAUUGUGUGACUAAAUGUAUUAGGUGAAUGCUGUAAGACUGUACUUCUCACCUGCUUGAUGUCUUGAUCUCAAGUUUCUAGGUUUCCAUUUGCUCCCUCUGUGAUCCCUCCUGCUCCCUGACUCUGGGUGUAGCCUGCUGAAUUGCAACUCUGAUCAAGCCACACUCCUUCUCACAAGCCUGUCGUGUGCAAACCUCCAAAGGCUCUCCAUUGCAUAGAUGAAGAUGCUUCUUACACUCAGUCCAAAGGCAACAUUGUGGUGGAUGUGGUAGGUGGUUGAUGGGGGCAGUGGUGGGAUAAGGAAGAGCAGAGAACACAGUGUCUCAGGUGCACCUGGAGUCCAGACCAGAAAGUCCAGGUAGAGUUUAAAUUUAGCUAGCUUGCAAUGGGGAUCGAUUGCAAUCAAGCAUAUCAGUAAGUGAAAUUGAUCAACUGGAAAUGUUGACAUAUCAUUACAUUGUCAUUGAGUAAAAAUAAACCACUUAACCAUCAAUCAUCAAAUGGCUCCCACCCUCAUGGGAUUUGCAGUUUAUUAGUUGAGAUAUUUGCAGGAAAUUACAAUGAGGUGUGAGGGUUGAUAAGGCCGAGGAAGAGCUGGGUGCUUUGGAUGCCCAUGGCAAGGACACAAUUGUAAGGUCUAAAAUCUUAUACUUUGAGGCUUCCGUCAUUCUGGAUCACAUCUACAACCAUAUAUAGACCUGGAAAGGAAACAAGUGUCAGAGGGCCCUAGCCCCCAAGACAAAUGGAAAAAGAAAUAGCCUUAUUGGGUAGGAACACAAUUAGGAAGGCAAAGGUAAGAAAAGGGCUGAACUGUCCAAGGAUAAAUGGAAAAACAGGAUGAUACAAUUAUGGAAGAAGAAAAGGGACCAAAGAAUUAUAAUUUGCUUCUUAAAUCAUUUAUUGAUCUCCUACAAUGGGUAUAAGACACUCAUAGCUUCCAGAUAAUGGUUAAAAAUGGAGGUCAGUUUGAGGCAACCUUUCUGUGAUGGCUGUGAGAAUGCACCUCUCAGAUUUCUGGAGGCUGGGGAUGUAACUGAUCAGCAGCCCCUUUGCUGAGCCUGGAAAUCCUUCCUGUGCUCUCUGGAGCCAUGCUUCCUAUAGACCGUCCCCAGCAGAUGACAGAACAUUGAGGGGAUAUGAAGGCAGUCUUGUUCCUAGGAGACAGGGGGCCCUUCUUUUUUUUUUUUUUUUCUUUUUUUCUUUUUACCAUUUCUAGGGCUGCUUCUGCAGCAUAUGGAGGUUCCCAGGCUAGGGGUCUAAUUGCAGCUGUAGACGCCGGCCUACACCACAGCCACAGCAGCGUGGGAUCUGAGCCGCGUCUGUGACCUACACCACAGCUCAUGGCAACGCCAAUCCUUAACCCACUGAGCAAGGCCAGGGAUCGAACCCACAACCUCGUGGUUCCUAGUCAGAUUCGUUAACCACUGAGCCACGACGGGAUCUCUGACAGGGGACCCUUCUGAUGGGUGACUUUGGCUUGACAACGCUUGGACAGUGUUUUGCACUCUCCUUGAACUCUCACUGCAGUCCAGAAUGUUUCCACUCAAACUUCCUUCUCUCCUUUACUGAGGGUUAAACGCACGUCCCAGCCUUUCCUAGCACCCUUCCCGCUUUCUUUCACAGAUUCUUCCCUUAGGAAAUUUGUGCGCAUCUAAUAUUGGAAGACCUGGAAUAACACAUCUUCUCAAAAGAGCGUGCCAGAGAAAAUGAAUAGGUGUUUGUUGGAGUCAUCUAUUUACCUAGGAACAGUCGGGAGCUGUCAGGGUGGGUGCAAGAGGGGAGGGGCACAAGCCAGGCCAGGUGGCAUCACACACACCUGGGGCAAAACUUGGCUCUUCCACUUCAGGGUGUGAUGGGGGCAGUUACCUAUUCUUUGCUACCUUUCAUUUCCUCAUCUGUAUAAUGCAAUACUCGUUUUUCCCUCACAGGCUUUUCGUGGGGAUUAACUGAGAUAAUGUAUGUAAAGGCCUUAACACAGUCUCUGGAAAAUAUUUGGGCCGGCUUCUGAGGGCUUCAUCCCCUUUCUCCUUCACACACGCAGCCUCUGUAGGAGAAGGAAGGAAACUCAAGGGCAUUUGGCCCUCUUUCAUAUAAGGAGCCUUGAGGUGCUAUCCUUGUAAUACAGCUUCAGUAAGGCCCUACCUCUCCAGGAAGCCACCUGUGGCUUCCAUAGCCCUGGGAUUGAUGUCUUUUGCUUCUUUCUCUGAUGUCCUCUUAGCAUUCCACUUUUGAUUCUAAUUGUGUGGGACCCGGUGUUGUUUGCAGGGGAUCACUCCAGCCCCUCUUUUCUGGGAACAUCCUCCACAACCAUAACCUGUAAUUCUGAUACACUAUAAUUCUGUCCCUGGAUACAGUCAACUGUCUCAGGGAUGGUACCUUUCUUUUUUUUUAAAUUUUGUUUAUUGAAGUAUAGUUGAUUUACCAUGUUCCUCCAAUUUCUGCUGUAUAGCAAAGUAACCCAGCCACCCAUAUAUCACCCUUAUCCUCCCCAUUUUCCAAGAGACUUGACACAGUUCCUGUGCUAUAUAGCAGGACCCCAUCACCCAUCCACUUUAAAUGUAACAGUCUGCAUCUACUAAUCCCAAACUCCCCAUCAGUGCCCCUUUCUCCUCUCUCUCUCAUGGCAAACAAAAGUCUGCCUUCCAUAUCCAUGAUCUGUUUCUGUUUUGUAGAUAGAUCACUCGUGCCACAUUUUAGACUCCAUUUAUAAGCUAUAUCAUAUGGUGUUUGUCUUUCUCUUUCUGACUUACUUCACUUAGUAUGAGAGUCUCUAGUUCCAUCCAUGUUGCUGCAAAUGGCAUUAUUUUGUCCUUUUUUAUGGCUAAGUAGUAUUCCAUUGUAUAUAUUUACUACAUCUUAAUCCAUUCAUCUGUCCAUGGACAUUUGGGUUGUUUCCAUGCUUUUGGCUAUUGUGACUAGUGCUGCAAUGAACAUAGGGGUGCAUGUAGCUUUGUAAAUGAAAAUUUUGUCUGUAUAUAUGCCCAGGAGUGGGAUUGCUGGAUCAUAUGGUAAUUCUAUAUUUAGUUUACUGAGGUUCUCCAUACUGUUUUCCAUAGUGGUUGUACCAAUUUACAUUCCCACCAACAGUGAAGGAGGCUUCCCUUUUCUCCACACCCUCUCCAGCAUUUGUUGUUUGCUGACUUGUUAAUGAUGGCCACUCCAGCUGCUGUGAGGUGGUAGGCACCUGUCUUGAAAUAAGGCAUUAAUGCCUUCCCUCAGAAUUUUAGCUUCAGAACGAGGAAUGUCAGACUUAUCUCUCUCUCUCUAGGGGCAACUGAGGUUAUCUGAAGCUACUGGCAGCCCAGCCAUAUGUUCUACUGUGUGUGUGUGUGUGUGUGUGUGUGUAUAGCCAGGCUACAAGGAGAUGAAAGAACAUUGCUGUCGUGCGAGAGAGGGAGAUAAAGAGAAGGAUAAAGAUCCAUCUGUACGCAAGUCCCGGGUUCUGUUUAUUCUUCAGAUUCUAUGGGGCAUCUCAACAUUCUCCUAAUCCUUGCUUAAGCUAGUUUGAUUAGGGCAUCUGUCGCUUAUAGCCCAAAGAGUAAUAAAGGUGUGUCAUUGUUCCAUGUGUCUACCCGGCCUUUCCACCUUGACCCUGAGCCUCCCAGGACAGAGACUACACCCCUCCCUCUGCUUCUGCCCCCCUGUGCCCAGAAUACUGCUUGGUCCAUGCAGCUGUUCCAGACAGAUGUGUGGUUGACUACAAGGCUAAAUCAAAUAUUCUGCUCAUGGCAGGUUUCUAUAUAUUCCACGUAUGAUGUCACAGGACCACUUUAAUCUAUGCUCUAAAUGCUGGUUUAAAUGUGCUAAAAAUGUCUUGUGGCGAGGACUUUGGAAGCUGGUGGAAAAGAGCUCCUGGCAGGUAUUUUGCAUGAGGCACGAUGGAGUUUCAGGUUAACAGGUGUUGCUGGGAGAAUCACUGUAUUUAAAAUGAAGCUGUGGAGUUCCCAUCAUGGCUCAGUGGAAAUGAAUCUGACUAGCAUCCAUGAGGAUCCAGGUUCGAUCCCUAGCCUUGCUUGGUGGGUUAAGGAUCCUGCAUUGCUGUGGCUGUGGUGUAGCCCAGUGGCNGGGUUUUGCCCAAAAAAAAAAAAAAAAAAAAAAAAAAAAA
This 5234-nucleotide long non-coding RNA is filed under the name Sus scrofa (pig). RNAcentral's name for it is "lncRNA (ENSSSCG00035024289.1)". Lineage: Eukaryota; Metazoa; Chordata; Mammalia; Artiodactyla; Suidae. The record is from RNAcentral.